RNAcentral lists this ribosomal RNA (429 nucleotides) under uncultured archaeon. RNAcentral describes it as "bacterial SSU rRNA". It matches the Rfam family "Archaeal small subunit ribosomal RNA", at positions 474 to 903 of the family's 1478-position model. The record is from RNAcentral.
UACCUGCAGCUCGAGUGGUAACCGCUUUUAUUGGGCCUAAAGCGUCCGUAGCCGGUUUGGUAAAUAUCUGGGUAAAUCGUGAGGCUUAACUUCACGAAUUUCGGAUAGACUGCCAGACUUGGGAUCGGGGGAGGUCAGAGGUACUCCAGGGGUAGCGGUGAAAUGUUGUAAUCCUUGGAGGACCACCGGUAGCGAAGGCGUCUGACUAGAACGAGUCCGACGGUGAGGGACGAAGCCCUGGGGCGCAAACCGGAUUAGAUACCCGGGUAGUCCAGGGUGUAAACAAUGUGGGCUUUGUAUUGGAGGUCCCACGUGGGCGUCCAGUGCAGAAGAGAAGUUGUUAAGCCCACCGCCUGGGAAGUACGGUCGCAAGGCUGAAAUUUAAAGGAAUUGGCGGGGGAACACAGCAACGGGAGGAGCGUGCGGUUU